AUCCAGAUGACGAGUCCCAAAUAGGACGAAAUGUGCACUCUGGAU
This 45-nucleotide non-coding RNA is filed under the name Trichobilharzia regenti. The record is from RNAcentral. Lineage: Eukaryota; Metazoa; Platyhelminthes; Trematoda; Strigeidida; Schistosomatidae.